GAUGAACGCUGGCGGCGUGCCUAAUACAUGCAAGUCGAACGAACAGACGAGGAUCUUGCUCCGCGGACGUGAGCGGCGGACGUGUGAAUAACACGUGUAUAACCUACCUAUAAGACGGGGAUAACUUCGAGAAACCGGAGCUAAUACCGGAUAAUAUCUUGAACCGCAGUGUGCGAUAGUGAGAUACGGUGGUGCUGGCACGUAUAGAGGGAUCCGCGCCGCAUUGGCUAGUAGUGAAGGUAACAGCUUACCAAGGCAACGAUGCGUAAGCGAGCUCAGAGGGUGAUCGGCCACACUGGAACUGAGCCACGGUCAAUACUCCUACGGGAGGCAGCAGUAGGGAACCUUACGCAACGGGCGAAAGCCUGACGGAGCAACGCCGCGUGAGUGAUGACGGUCUUCGGAUCGUAAAAAUCUGUUAUUAGGGAAGAACCAAUGUCUAAGUAACUAUGCCCGUCUUGACGGUACUUAAUCAGAAAGCCCCGGCUAACUACGUG
This 497-nucleotide ribosomal RNA is filed under the name uncultured bacterium. RNAcentral describes it as "partial 16S ribosomal RNA". It matches the Rfam family "Bacterial small subunit ribosomal RNA", at positions 28 to 507 of the family's 1533-position model. The record is from RNAcentral.